GACGAACGCUGGCGGCGUGCUUAACACAUGCAAGUCGAACGGAAAGGCCUCUUUCGGGGGGUACUCGAGUGGCGAACGGGUGAGUAACACGUGAGUAACCUGCCCUUGACUUUGGGAUAACUUCAGGAAACUGGGGCUAAUACCGGAUAGGAGCUCCUGCUGCAUGGGGGGGGUUGGAAAGUUUCGGCGGUUGGGGAUGGACUCGCGGCGUAUCUGCUUGUUGGUGGGGUAGUGGCUUACCAAGGCUUUGACGGGUAGCCGGCCUGGGGGGGUGACCGGCGACAUUGAGACUGAGAUACGGCCCAGACUCCUACGGGAGGCAGAAGUGGGGAAUAUUGCACAAUGAGUGGAGGCCUGGUGCAGCAGGGCCGUGUGCGGGAUAACGGCCUUCGGGUUGAAGACCGCUUUCGCUCAUGACGAAGCUUUGUGUGACGGUAGUGGGUAAAGAAGCACCGGCUAACUACGUG
Molecule: ribosomal RNA, 467 nt
Filed under: uncultured bacterium
Lineage: Bacteria
Description: partial 16S ribosomal RNA
Rfam family: Bacterial small subunit ribosomal RNA
Source: RNAcentral